This 464-nucleotide ribosomal RNA is filed under the name uncultured bacterium. RNAcentral's name for it is "bacterial SSU rRNA". It matches the Rfam family "Bacterial small subunit ribosomal RNA", at positions 917 to 1382 of the family's 1533-position model. The record is from RNAcentral.
GGACCCGCACAAGCAGCGGAGCAUGUGGUUUAAUUCGAAGCAACGCGAAGAACCUUACCAAGACUUGACAUCGUAAGACGGUAUCAGAGAUGAUAUUUUCCCUUCGGGGACUUAUAGACAGGUGGUGCAUGGUUGUCGUCAGCUCGUGUCGUGAGAUGUUGGGUUAAGUCCCGCAACGAGCGCAACCCUUAUCAAUAGUUGCCAAUAUUAAGUUAGGAACUCUAUUGAGACUGCCGUGGAUAACACGGAGGAAGGUGAGGAUGACGUCAAAUCAUCAUGCCCCUUACGUCUUGGGCUACACACGUGCUACAAUGGCUAUUACAAAGGGCAGCGAAGUGGUGACAUGGAGCAAAUCCCAUAAAGAUAGUCUCAGUUCGGAUUGUGGGCUGCAACCCGCCCACAUGAAGUCGGAGUUGCUAGUAAUCCCGAAUCAGAACGUCGGGGUGAAUGCGUUCCCGGGUCUU